CACAUGCAAGUCGAGGGGCAGCAUGAAUCAAGCUUGCUCGAUUGGAUGGCGACCGGCGCACGGGUGCGUAACACGUAUCCAAUCUACCCAUGGCUCAGGGAUAGCCUUUCGAAAGAAAGAUUAAUACCUGAUGGUUUCAUGAGCCCGCAUGGACUUAUGAAUAAAGAUUUAUCGGCGAUGGAUGAGGAUGCGUCCGAUUAGAUAGUAGGCGGGUAACGGCCCACCUAGUCGACGAUCGGUAGGGGCUCUGAGAGGAGGAUCCCCCACAUUGGAACUGAGACACGGUCCAAACUCCUACGGGAGGCAGCAGUGAGGAAUAUUGGUCAAUGGGCGAGAGCCUGAACCAGCCAAGUAGCGUGAGGGAUGACUGCCCUAUGGGUUGUAAACCUCUUUUGUUUGGGAAUAAAGUGAGCCACGUGUGGCUUUUUGUAUGUACCUUACGAAUAAGCAUCGGCUAAUUCCGUGCCAGCCGCGGC
This 476-nucleotide ribosomal RNA is filed under the name uncultured bacterium. Its description in RNAcentral is "bacterial SSU rRNA". It matches the Rfam family "Bacterial small subunit ribosomal RNA", at positions 52 to 518 of the family's 1533-position model. The record is from RNAcentral.